This 1161-nucleotide ribosomal RNA is filed under the name uncultured organism. RNAcentral's name for it is "bacterial SSU rRNA". It matches the Rfam family "Bacterial small subunit ribosomal RNA", at positions 166 to 1333 of the family's 1533-position model. The record is from RNAcentral.
AUACCGGAUGUGGCACCCUGCGAUUGCGGGGAAGCUAAAGGAUUAUUCACUUCCCGAGGGGCUCGCGGCCCAUCAGCUUGUUGGUGAGGGUAACGGCCCACCAAGGCGACAACGGGUAGCUGGUCUGAGAGGAUGGUCCGCCACACUGGAACUGAGACACGGUCCAGACACCUACGGGUGGCAGCAGUCGAGAAUCAUUCGCAAUGGGGGAAACCCUGACGAUGCGACGCCGCGUGGAGGAUGAAGGCCUUAGGGUUGUAAACUCCUGUCAAGAGGGAAUAAGCAAGUGAAGGUACCUCUAGAGGAAGGGGCGGCUAAUUCCGUGCCAGCAGCCGCGGUAACACGGAAGACCCGAGAGUAGUACGGAUUCAUUGGGCGUAAAGGGUGCGUAGGCGGCGCGGAAAGUCCGGAGUGAAAGGCAGGGGCUCAACCUCUGGACUGCGUUGGAUACUUCCGUGCUUGAGGACUGGAGGGGAGACUGGAAUUCACGGUGUAGCAGUGAAAUGCGUAGAUAUCGUGAGGAAGACCGGUGGCGAAGGCGAGUCUCUGGACAGAUCCUGACGCUGAGGCACGAAGGCUGGGGGAGCGAACAGGAUUAGAUACCCUGGUAGUCCCAGCAGUAAACGAUGUGAGCUUGAUUUGGGGGGAUUCGACCCCUUCCGUGUCGAAGCUAACGCGAUAAGCUCACCGCCUGAGGAGUACGGCCGCAAGGCUAAAACUCAAAGAAAUUGACGGGGACCCGCACAAGCGGUGGAGUAUGUGGCUUAAUUCGAUGCAACGCGAAGAACCUUACCUGGCCUUGACAUGCAUUGUGUCGUCGGUGAAAGCCGGCUAGUCCUGGAAACAGGACGCUUUGCACAGGUGCUGCAUGGCUGUCGUCAGCUCGUGUCGUGAGAUGUUGGGUUAAGUCCCGCAACGAGCGCAACCCUUGUGGUCAGUUACUAACCGGCUUAGCCGGAGGACUCUGGCCAGACUGCCCUGUCAAACGGGGAGGAAGGUGGGGACGACGUCAAGUCAGUAUGGCCCUUAUGGCCAGGGCUGCACACGUACUACAAUGCCCGGUACAAUGUGAACCGAAACCGCGAGGUGGAGGAAAUCGCUCUUGAAAACCGGGCCCAGUUCGGAUUGGAGUCUGCAACUCGACUCCAUGAAGUCGGAAUC